This is a regulatory RNA element of Oceanimonas sp. GK1, 105 nucleotides long. It matches the Rfam family "Alpha operon ribosome binding site". From Rfam's summary of the family: The bacterial alpha operon ribosome binding site is surrounded by this complex pseudoknotted structure. The record is from Rfam. Lineage: Bacteria; Pseudomonadati; Pseudomonadota; Gammaproteobacteria; Aeromonadales; Aeromonadaceae.
AAAGUUCAGCCAUUACGUAUCCUCGACGGGCUUUGUAAUGGCUUUUUAUUCGUUAAUAUGUAGGAGUGCAUAGUGGCCCGUAUCGCUGGCAUUAACAUUCCUGAC